UACGAAGGGGGCUAGCGUUGCUCGGAAUCACUGGGCGUAAAGCGCACGUAGGCGGAUUGCUAAGUCAGGGGUGAAAUCCUGGAGCUCAACUCCAGAACUGCCUUUGAUACUGGCGACCUUGAGUCCGGGAGAGGUGAGUGGAACUGCGAGUGUAGAGGUGAAAUUCGUAGAUAUUCGCAAGAACACCAGUGGCGAAGGCGGCUCUCUGGACUGUAACUGACGCUGAGGCUCGAAAGCGUGGGGAGCAAACAGG
This 253-nucleotide ribosomal RNA is filed under the name uncultured bacterium. RNAcentral describes it as "partial 16S ribosomal RNA". It matches the Rfam family "Bacterial small subunit ribosomal RNA", at positions 524 to 776 of the family's 1533-position model. The record is from RNAcentral.